CAUUUCCUUCUCGUUUUGUUGGAAGACGAUGUCAAUUCAAAUUGAGGAAUACUCUAGCGGUAUGCCGAGCAACAGGUGAUCCUCACUACCGAACAUUUGAUGGAAAACGCUACGACUUCAUGGGAAAAUGUCAAUAUGUGUUGGCCAAAGACUCGAAAGAAACCUUUACAAUUCUGCAAGAUACCGAACCUUGUGGUAGAAGAAAAGCUACGUGCACCUAUGCUAUUACGGCAAAAAUACAAGGAAAAACCAUUUACAUGAGUAGAGGAGGAAGUGUAUUAGUAAAUGGUGAAAAUGUCACAUUGCCGUAUAAAGAUAAAGGAAUUACUGUCAAAGUUUUCAUGAAACGUGGCAUGAAGAUCAAGACAAAGAUUGGUUUAACAGUUGAAUACAAUGGUGUAUUUAACGUUUUUGAAAGUUCGAAACAUCUAUAGGGGAAAAUUAUCAGGACUUUGCGGCAACUUUAAUGGCAAACGUAAUGAUGAGUUCAAGACACCAGAAAAUGCACUUGUGAAGAACGUAAUUACAUUUGGAAAUUCCUGGAAGACAGAUGACAGUUGUCCAAAUGUCACAACUGUUGAAGACCAUCCGUGUAAAAAUAACAUCAAACGUGCACUGAAAGCUAAACAAGAAUGUUCAGCACUUAAAAAACAACCUUUCUCAAAGUGUAAUGAAGUUGUAGAUCCAAAUGAUGGUCCUAUAGAAGAGUGUGAAUAUGAUGUCUGCGCAUGUGAAAGUAAUCCGAAGGCGUGUGUGUGUGAAUCAUUUGCUGCUUAUGAAGAACAAUGUAAUAACACAGGGAUUGAAAUCAAGUGGAAACAUCUCAAAAAGUUUGCAAAAUGUGGUUCAGCAUGUUCCUCGCUC
Dendronephthya gigantea is the source of this 864-nucleotide long non-coding RNA. RefSeq lists it as uncharacterized. NCBI's taxonomy places the organism in Eukaryota, Metazoa, Cnidaria, Anthozoa, Malacalcyonacea, Nephtheidae. The transcript has 4 exons. The record is from RefSeq and is a predicted model, not a curated record.